AUGGUUUGACUCUGAAACAAAAUUGAUAAGU
Molecule: non-coding RNA, 31 nt
Filed under: Homo sapiens (human)
Lineage: Eukaryota; Metazoa; Chordata; Mammalia; Primates; Hominidae
Source: RNAcentral